RNAcentral lists this unclassified non-coding RNA (345 nucleotides) under soil metagenome. RNAcentral's name for it is "partial contains 5.8S ribosomal RNA, internal transcribed spacer 2, and large subunit ribosomal RNA". The stretch from base 1 to 120 matches the Rfam family "5.8S ribosomal RNA", at positions 35 to 154 of the family's 154-position model. The record is from RNAcentral.
GAUGAAGAACGCAGCGAAAUGCGAUACGUAAUGUGAAUUGCAGAAUUCAGUGAAUCAUCGAGUCUUUGAACGCACAUUGCGCCCCCUGGUAUUCCGGGGGGCAUGCCUGUCCGAGCGUCAUUGCUGCCCUCAAGCACGGCUUGUGUGUUGGGCCUCCGUCCUCCUCCCGGGGGACGGGCCCGAAAGGCAGCGGCGGCACCGCGUCCGGUCCUCGAGCGUAUGGGGCUUCGUCACCCGCUCUUGUAGGCCCGGCCGGCGCUUGCCGACACAUCAAUCUUUUUUCCAGGUUGACCUCGGAUCAGGUUGGGAUACCCGCUGAACUUAAGCAUAUCAAUAAGCGGAGGA